This 62-nucleotide ribosomal RNA is filed under the name Ulvella sp. 1-BER-2007. Its description in RNAcentral is "partial 28S large subunit ribosomal RNA". It matches the Rfam family "Eukaryotic large subunit ribosomal RNA", at positions 1 to 57 of the family's 3401-position model. The record is from RNAcentral. Lineage: Eukaryota; Viridiplantae; Chlorophyta; Ulvophyceae; Ulvales; Ulvellaceae.
AUCAUCGACCUGAGUUCAGACGAGGCUACCCGCUGAACUUAAGCAUAUCAAUAAGCGGAGGA